This 1335-nucleotide ribosomal RNA is filed under the name uncultured bacterium. RNAcentral's name for it is "bacterial SSU rRNA". It matches the Rfam family "Bacterial small subunit ribosomal RNA", at positions 27 to 1381 of the family's 1533-position model. The record is from RNAcentral.
GGAUGAACGCUAGCUGGAGGCUUAAUACAUGCAAGUCGAGCGGGAUUGGUAGCAAUACCAUGAGAGCGGCGCACGGGUGAGUAACGCGUACACGACCUACCUCUGACAGGGGGAUAGCCCUGGGAAACUGGGAUUAAUACCGCAUAUUAUUCUGAUUAAUAAAGGAUUAGAAUGAAAGUUCAGGCGGUCAGAGAUGGGUGUGCGUCUGAUUAGCUAGUUGGUAGGGUAAUGGCCUACCAAGGCGAUGAUCAGUAGGGGGCGUGAGAGCGUGAUCCCCCACACGGGUACCGAGACACGGACCCGACUCCUACGGGAGGCAGCAGUAAGGAAUAUUGGACAAUGGCCGCAAGGCUGAUCCAGCCAUCCAGCGUGCAGGAAGAAGGCCCUAUGGGUUGUAAACUGCUUUUAUCAGGGAAGAAACCUGUGGAUUUACUCCGCAGCUGACGGUACCUGAAGAAUAAGCACCGGCUAACUCCGUGCCAGCAGCCGCGGUAAUACGGAGGGUGCGAGCGUUAUCCGGAAUUACUGGGUUUAAAGGGUGCGUAGGCGGCUUUGUAAGUCAGGAGUGAAAGUUUGCGGCUCAACCGUAAAAUUGCUUCUGAUACUGCAUGGCUAGAAUUUGGUUGCUGUGGGUGGAAUGUGUGGUGUAGCGGUGAAAUGCUUAGAUAUCACACAGAAUAUCGAUUGCGAAGGCAGCUCACAAAGCCAAGAUUGACGCUGAGGCACGAAAGUGUGGGGAUCAAACAGGAUUAGAUACCCUGGUAGUCCACACUGUAAACGAUGAUAACUCACUGCCGGCGAUACACAGUCGGUGGCCAAGCGAAAGCGAUAAGUUAUCCACCUGGGGAGUACGACCGCAAGGUUGAAACUCAAAGGAAUUGACGGGUCCCCGCACAAGCAGCGGAGCGUGUGGUUUAAUUCGAUGAUACACGAAGAACCUUACCAGGGUUUGACAUACAGGUGGUAGAGAAGCGAAAGUGGAACGACCCUUCGGGGAGCCUGAACAGGUGCUGCAUGGCUGUCGUCAGCUCGUGUCGUGAGAUGUUCGGUUAAGUCCGCUAACGAGCGCAACCCUUGUUGUGUGUUACACGUAUCACACGAGACCGCCGGUAGAAAGCCGGAGGAAGGUAGGGAUGACGUCAAGUCCUCAUGGCCCUUACGGGUAGGGCUACACACGUGCUACAAUGGUGGUGACAGAGGGCAGCGAGGCAGUGAUGCCAAGCUAAUCCCAAAAAGCCAUCUCAGUUCAGAUUGCACUCUGCAACUCGGGUGCAUGAAGUUGGAAUCGCUAGUAAUCGCUAAUCAGCAGGUAGCGGUGAAUACGUUCCCGGGCCU